Molecule: ribosomal RNA, 729 nt
Filed under: Candidatus Tremblayella phenacoccinincola
Lineage: Bacteria; Pseudomonadati; Pseudomonadota; Betaproteobacteria
Description: bacterial SSU rRNA
Rfam family: Bacterial small subunit ribosomal RNA
Source: RNAcentral
GGGAUAGAAUUCCAGGAGUAGCGGUGAAAUGCGUAGAUAUCUGGAGGAAUACCAAAGGCGAAGGCAGUCCCCUGGUCCGAUACUGACACUGAGGUACGAAAGCGUGGGGAGCAAACAGGAUUAGAUACCCUGGUAGUCCACGCCCUAAACGAUGUCGAUUAGCCAUUGGAAGGACCCCUUUUCCUUUCAGUGACGUAGCUAACGCGUUAAAUCGACCGCCUGGGAAGUACGACCGCAAGGUUAAAACUCAAAGGAAUUGACGGGGACCUGAACAAGCGGUGAAUGAUGUGGAUUAAUUCGAUGCUACGCGAAGAACCUUACCUACCUUUGACAUGGCCAAAGUUCUACCGAGAGGCGGAAGUACUCGUAAGAGGAUUGGCGCACAGGUGCUGCAUGGUUGUCGUCAGUUCGUGUCGUGAGAUGUUGGGUUCAGUCCCGCAACGAACGCAACCCUUAUCUUUAAUUGCUCCUAUUUUAACAGGCACUUUAAAGAAACUGCCAAUGAUAAGUUGGAGGAAGGUGGGGAUCACGUCAAGUCCGCAUGGCCUUUAUAGGUAGGGCCUCACACGUCAUACAAUGGUUAGAACAAAGAGCUGCAAAUUCGUAAGAAGGAGCCAAUCUCACAAACCUAACCUCAGUUCGAAUUGCGGUCUGCAACUCGAGCGCAUGAAGCCGGAAUCGCUAGUAAUCGUGGAUCAGAAUGCCACGGUGAAUACGUUCUUAGGUCUU